Molecule: small RNA, 323 nt
Filed under: uncultured bacterium
Lineage: Bacteria
Description: bacterial SSU rRNA
Rfam family: Bacterial small subunit ribosomal RNA
Source: RNAcentral
GAACCCUGACUUCGGUUAGGGGGAGAGUGGCGAACGGGUGAGUAACACGUAGGUGAUCUACCUCUGGAUGGGGGAUAGCCUGUGGAAACACAGGGUAAUACCGCAUGAGGUCCUUCUGGUAAAGCGGAGGGAUGAAAGGGGCAACUGCCCCGUCUGGGGAUGAGCCUGCGGCCCAUUAGCUAGUUGGUGAGGUAACGGCCCACCAAGGGUAAGAUGGGUAGCCGGCCUGAGAGGGUGUACGGCCACACUGGAAUUGCGACACGGUCGAGGCUCCUACGGGAGGCUGUAGUGGGUAAUUCUAGAAAUCUCCUACAAAUAUCAGC